Molecule: ribosomal RNA, 398 nt
Filed under: uncultured bacterium
Lineage: Bacteria
Description: bacterial SSU rRNA
Rfam family: Bacterial small subunit ribosomal RNA
Source: RNAcentral
AUUGAACGCUGGCGGCAUGCCUUACACAUGCAAGUCGAACGGCAGCACGGGAGCAAUCCUGGUGGCGAGUGGCGAACGGGUGAGUAAUAUAUCGGAACGUGCCCAGUCGUGGGGAUAACGUAGCGAAAGCUACGCUAAUACCGCAUACGAUCUAUGGAUGAAAGCGGGGGAUCGCAAGACCUCGCGCGAUUGGAGCGGCCGAUAUCAGAUUAGGUAGUUGGUGAGGUAAAGGCUCACCAAGCCGACGAUCUGUAGCUGGUCUGAGAGGACGACCAGCCACACUGGGACUGAGACACGGCCCAGACUCCUACGGGAGGCAGCAGUGGGGGAAUUUUUGGACAAUGGGCGCAAGCCUGAUCCAGCAAUGCCGCGUGCAGGAUGAAGGCCUUCGGUUGGUU